CAGCCCGUGCAGGCACAGGGCACCGCCCCCACCGGCCGGAAGGGCGGGCGUGAGGCUGGCGCGUAUGCGCGGCCCGCCCGGGCGUGCCCAGUGGGUGUCAGGCGCGUGGUGCGGGCGGAAGUGGGGCUGGCGGUUUCCUCAGCGCGCGCUCCCCGCCCCGGGCUCGGACACAGCCAUGCCUGUUCAGUUGCUGAAGAUCAUUAAAGGAAAAUCUGAGACUCCACUGCCAAGCCAUUUGCAGGAGGAGGAUUUGAAAGAUUUGCAAGAAGGCCUUGAUCAUACCAACAAAUAUGUUCAGGGAAUAGUUAUUCUUUCCUACCCACUAACGAAACUUGGAGAUGGGACAGACUUUUUCAAGGUUGUUCUUCAAGAUUUGCACAGCUUUUCACGGAUUAACAGCAUCAAUAUUUUAAUAUAUGGAAAAAUGGCAGAGGACUGUGCAAAAGUUAUACACAAUGGGGACACCUUUGUAGUUGCAGGAUUUAAGUUGGCAAAAUCGCCUACAGCAAAAGAGGAUGGUAGACAUGGUUGCCACCUGGAGGUGUCUGAAGAAGCUGGAUCAGCCAUUUAUAUUUAUACUACACCAAAACAACAUGCUGCUUCAGAAACUGCAUCGGCGUCUGUUGCACCAAAAUAUGUGUAUACUCCUCUGAAUCACCUUAAACACGGAACUGUAGUGAACUUGUAUGGCGUUGUGAAGUUCUUCAAGCCUCCGUAUGUAAGCAAAGGAACUGAUUAUUGCUCAGUUGUAACACUCGUGGAUCCAUCGAAUGUGAAGUUAACAUGCACUCUUUUUAGUGGAAAUCUAGAUUCCCUACCAAAAAUUUACAAAGUCGGAGAUAUUGUUCGAUUUCAUAGGAUAAAGGUCAGGGAAUACAAUGGACAGAUGCAGGGAAUUACCAGUGCAGGAUUUGCAUCCUUGACAUUUGAUGGAACUGUAGGAGCACCAGUACUUCCUCGAACCUCUAGCAAAGUGUACACUUUCAUGGAUGAAGAACAGAAAACAAUAGAAGAAUUACGUGUUUGGGCAGCCAGUAAUCUUACCAUCUCUGGACCAGCCACAAAGUUGUCUGGUGUUCAGCCAAUGGUGUUCUUUGACCUCACUUGCCAGCUGGUAGGAAAAGCAAAAGUGGAUGGAUCUUCUUUUCUUCUGAAGGUUUGGGAUGGCACAAAAUGUCCCUACCCAACAUGGAAGGUGCCUGUGGAAACAGGAGACCUGGAAGGAGAAACAGUUCUUCUUCAUCAUCUGCGAAAUCUAACGGUGGAUAUUCUAGUCUAUGAUAACCAUGUACAGCUGGCAAAAUCACUAAAGAUUGGAAGUUUUCUGAGAAUUUACAGUAUUCAUACGAAACAAGCAAAUUCUGACAGUGAUGUCUCAUGUAUAGAAUUUCAUCUUCAUGGUGGCACCUGUUACGGUCGAGGAAUAGGAGUCUUACCAGAAAGUAACCCAGAUGUUAAGGAACUGAAAGCAUUCUUAGAAUCAGUGGAUCUGGCAGAGAGUCAGAAUAUGGAAAGCAUGUCUUCAUUGGAAUUAGAUGGCACUUUUAGCAAUAUUACAGAUCUUGAAUCACACCUACAGAGAUGUCAGCAGUUAUCUGUUACAGUAUUAACAGAUCAUCAGGAUUUGAAUAACACAGAACUGAAAACCAUUCUGAACAGCACAGCUCCUCAACAGUAUCGCAUUAGAGCAAAGCUGAGAACUUACAAACCCCAGAAGCUCUAUCAGUCUAUUAAACUUCAUUGUUCCAAAUGCAACUCUUUGCAAGAAGUUCCAGAUGGAGGUGACUUUGACUUAAUUUUACAAGGCUCUGCAGUUACUGCUCCAAACCUGGAAUUACACAAUACAUCCUGGUAUGAUUCUGUGAUGUGGACUACACGAGACCAGAAACAAAGGAAAAUAGUUAUCCAUUUUGUAAAGCCUGAUGAAAUGCUUCAGCAGCCCGAAGACACUUUGCUUAUGAUAGAAGUCCUGAUGCAGAAAAGUGCUGAGAGGCUUCUUAUAAUACAAGCCUACGAUGAACUUCGUCAGCCUCUGGAUGUCAGUGUUGUUUCAGAUUAAUAAAGCUUCUCACAGCAUGAGGUGGUACACUAAAAGAAAUCUGGAAGCUUACAAAAAGAUUCAAAUGUGUUAUUCCUGUGAGAUCUACAGAAGACGAUCUUGAAUUACUAGAUCUCUCAGCUCCUUUUCUUUUACAAGGGAACAUAAAAUAUUAUGGGUGCAAGCAGUGUUCAACUCCAAAGCCUAUCAAGAGUCUGAGUUCCCUUGCGGCAGAACAACAACCAUCAUGGGAACCAGCUGAAAUAGCACAAGUUUUAGGUAUUGAGCUCCUCCAGUAUGUUUUUAUAAUGAAGUUUACACUGGUUGAUGGAACAGGAGCAAUAAAUGCAUACCUUUUCGAUUAUGAAAAGUUUUUCCAAAUUCCUGCCUCUGAAAUCUUAACUAAUAAUUUUCUUCAGCAAAAGAUGCAGAUGACAAUGAAUAUGCUUUGCCCUCCAGGAAGAAAAUUAGAUGACUUGCCGUGGCUGGAAUGCUUCAUCAAGUCCUAUAAUGUCAGAGAUGCGACAAAACCUCGAGUUUGUUACCAGAUUUUUGACACUACAAUUGCUGAAGAUGUUGUAUAGUGAUGUGUUGCUAGUAGGAAGUAAUCCAGAAGAGUUCAAUUUUGGGUGUUUUUGGGAUCAGAGACUGUAUACAAGAACCUUUGUGCCUUUCAACCCGUAUGAUGUUUUAGUUUGUAUAUUAAUGUGAAUGGAAAUUAUGCUUUGAUGUAUAUACUACUUUCCUGGCGUACAGCCUUGUGACCGAGCGCAAGUGGAGGUGCUAAGCUUUUCACAGGAGGCUGCUUGGCUCAGGCUGAUGGAAGCGAUCUGGUACCCAUCUGUCCUUCAAAAAGGUGGUGAUGAGGUUACUUGAAACUGGUGAGUUUUAUGCAGAAAAUAUAGUCAGAAUUACGCUGCUUUGUUCUUUCCUGUAUUAAAAUAAACAAUGUUAGCAGAGAUAGGGCAAAGGAGCUCUUCAAUGAACUUUCUCUCAGACGACUUUGUGCAAGCAUAUAUUACUGUUCUCAGUUAGCAAGUUUGACAGGGAGGUUGUCUGUGUUUAGAGACUUCUUUUGGUUUUGCACUGAUAUGUACAUGUAGAGAGAACUCUUCCUGUUAAUCAUACUAGGAUAACUGCUAUGCGUACUAGUUACUGUAGAUUCCGACAGAACUACGAAUGUCACCAUGUAAUGAUUUUCACUAAAAUUUAAGUCAAGCCAUGAAAAGUAAGUAGUGUAAAACUGUAAAGUGCAUAUUGACAUUUGCUAGAUGGUAAUGCUUUCUAAGGUGGCCGUAUUGGGUACCACAGUUAGCAGCAUGCUUAUUAGCUGGGUCUGAGUUUAAAGGCUCUCACAUGUCUGGCUAAAUCUACUGUCAGAUUACACUGCCCAGAUCUUCCUUUUCUGCCUUACAUAAUCAGAUUGUAUGACUAAAUUUAGAGAUACAGAACAGUGAUAUCAUGGAUUGUAAAUACUGCUGGACUAGAAAAAAUACUUAGUGGUUUUCCUUUGCGUUCAGAAGUCUGUAAGAGAUUCAGGACAUGUUUCUCCAAGGAUGAUUAAUGUAGAAAUCCCUGUCAAAUCAAAUGUUUUCUAUCAGAGCAAAAUUACUUAGUAUUUGCAACAGCUGUUUCUUAGGGAAGUUCAGAAGCAAGAUGGAAUACUUGUAAGAAGAUCAUCAUUCUGAUAGUAGAUUAUGGUUUAUUUUUGCAUUUUUCAAGGCUGUUUAAUAGAUUAUGCAAUUUGUAAUUUAAAAUUUCAUCUAAAUAUCUUCUGAUAAUUUUCGGGUACUCUAAAAAAUAUAUCUUUACUGAUUGAUUUAUAGGGAGAAUCAAUAAUAAAAGUGGUUAGUGGUAUUUCCUCUAAAAAGUAUGGGGAAAAGAGCAAACAAUUUUGGAAUUGAACAAGCAGUUUACCAAAGUGCUGUACGAGCUUAUGAAAGCUUACUUGAAUCUGUGAAUAAAUGCAUAAACAAAAAGUAGUUGUAACAAGUUAUUAAAUGAAUAUUAUGAAACUUUUGACACUAGCCAUAGCAAAAUUCUUUCAGAAGCUAGGGGUUGAUUUGAAGGCAAUCUUUUUCCUUUGCUUGUACAUCGUGUACAAAAACAUUGGAAGGGAAUGUUUUUAUUUUUAUAUUUUUGUUAACAACUAUGACAGACAUUGCUAUUGUACAUUUGUUCUAAAUAAGUCUUUGUAAAAUAAGAAUAUGUUUUGAACUUCAGUGUAAACUGAAUGUACUUCACCACAUCUCCUGUCUGAGAUCCCUGCCAGAAAGCUCUGCAUGCAUCACUUGAUUUUUUUACUUUUGAAUAUUGUAAUAAAAAUGUCUAAUAAAGAUUUUUCCAAAUAU
RNA transcript from Columba livia (rock pigeon), 4389 nucleotides. It is a transcript of the gene named protection of telomeres 1, with no coding region annotated. Lineage: Eukaryota; Metazoa; Chordata; Aves; Columbiformes; Columbidae. The transcript has 21 exons. The record is from RefSeq and is a predicted model, not a curated record.